RNAcentral lists this ribosomal RNA (665 nucleotides) under uncultured cyanobacterium. RNAcentral describes it as "bacterial SSU rRNA". It matches the Rfam family "Bacterial small subunit ribosomal RNA", at positions 104 to 800 of the family's 1533-position model. The record is from RNAcentral. Lineage: Bacteria; Bacillati; Cyanobacteriota.
GGGUGAGUAACGCGUGAGAAUCUACCAAAAGGACCGGGACAACCACUGGAAACGGUGGCUAAUACCGGAUGAGCCGCAACGUAAAAAGGGAAACCUGCCUUUUGAAGAGCUCGCGUCUGAUUGGCUAGUUGGUGAGGUAAGAGCUCACCAAGGCAGCGAUCAGUAGCUGGUCUGAGAGGAUGACCAGCCACACUGGGACUGAGACACGGCCCAGACUCCUACGGGAGGCAGCAGUGGGGAAUUUUCCGCAAUGGGCGAAAGCCUGACGGAGCAAGACCGCGUGAGGGAAGAAGGCUCUUGGGUCGUAAACCUCUUUUAUCAGGGAAGAAAAAACUGACGGUACCUGAAGAAUCAGCCUCGGCUAACUCCGUGCCAGCAGCCGCGGUAAUACGGAGGAGGCAAGCGUUAUCCGGAAUUAUUGGGCGUAAAGCGUCCGCAGGUGGCUUAUCAAGUCUGCUGUCAAAGAGUGGGGCUUAACCCCAUAAAGGCAGUGGAAACUGAGAAGCUAGAGUGCCGUAGGGGUAGAGGGAAUUCCCGGUGUAGCGGUGAAAUGCGUAGAGAUCGGGAAGAACAUCGGUGGCGAAAGCGCUCUACUGGACGGCAACUGACACUCAGGGACGAAAGCUAGGGGAGCGAAUGGGAUUAGAUACCCCAGUAGUCCUAGC